This 601-nucleotide long non-coding RNA is filed under the name Androctonus crassicauda. Lineage: Eukaryota; Metazoa; Arthropoda; Arachnida; Scorpiones; Buthidae. The record is from RNAcentral.
GUAAUAUUGAAAAUUUAAAAAUUUAACAUAUAGUAAUUAUAGCAUAGUAAUAAAAUAUUAUUCUAUGUAUUUCCAUGGUAUAGUCUUAGAUGAAUUUAUUUUAAUGAUAGAUUUUUGGUCUCAUUUUAGCCAAGAGAUUGCCAAAGAAUGAGCAGUUAUCUGGAGGUGGAUCCAGCGGACAUGAAAGACGAGGAGUGGACUUGGGCCAGAACCAGCAGCAAUCAAAUGGUGGCUGUUGCAAAUGAUAUGGCUGCCAUUUGAAUUCCAUGCCUACAUGAACUAUAUCACAAUACUUAUAGGUCUGGGACCAUCACAAGGCCCUUUUUAUCAUGGCAUCCAUGGAAAUAUAACAGUUCUGAACUAUUUUUGUACUUUAGGCCAAUUGUCUGGUUCUAAGUUUAUUGUUCUCUGUUGCUUCCUAUUAUAUUUGAUGCUGGAAUUCCUAGUCCUAAUUAUUUUUAAAUAGCAGCUCUAAAGACGACAGAUUCCUAGGUGGCAGUCACUACCCUAUACUAUAGCUAUUUAAUGGUGUUCAUUGAUUUAUGUUAUAUUGUAAAUAAAAUUUGAUAUUAAAUGGAAAAUAAAGCUUCUUUUUUCAAAU